RNAcentral lists this long non-coding RNA (1094 nucleotides) under Coffea arabica (coffee). RNAcentral's name for it is "long non-coding RNA (CARA_LNC003379)". Lineage: Eukaryota; Viridiplantae; Streptophyta; Magnoliopsida; Gentianales; Rubiaceae. The record is from RNAcentral.
AUUGAACAAACUUGCAACCAAUUUCUAUGUACAAUGGAAGGAUCACUUCCUUCUUGCCCCAAACCACACUUGGUCAAGCAAUGAAGUUUUACAAAAACUCUGAUAACCCUCACAAAGCUACACUAUUGAAGAAGCUGUGUCACACUUGAAAAGUUACAAGAAAAUUGCACAAGCUGAGAAUACAAAUAAUCCCUUUUUGAGUAUUCAACCACUUGAAUCACUCACUAUUUGAUGUAGACUGGAUGUGCAAAGUUGCUCUGAUGUGGUUGACUUUUUUCCUUUUAUAGGAGACCAAGAAAUUCUUCAAUUAAUGCUGUCAACGGAUAGAAGGCAACUGAAGAGUCAACUAGCCGUUGGUGCUGUCGGACGUCCGAUAUUCAGUUUUUAUGCAUCCGAACGAGGUCAAUGAAUUAGAGAAAUCUUCUUGAACCUCUUAGGACGUCCGAUCCCCUAUCACCAUGCGUCCGAGGGUAAGAUGCAGAUUUGGAGGUUCCUUUUCAAUUCCUUCGGACGGCCGAUGCGUCCAAUGUGUUGUGUUCGAAGUGCAGCAACGCUUGUCGGACGUCCGAUGCUCAAGUGUUGAGCGUCCGAUCGUGAUCAGUAAUCAUAGAAGCCCUGGCUUGUCUUCUUCGGACGUCCGAGUCUGAGUUCUUCAUACGUCCGAAGUUACUCAAUGGAUGUUGGACGUCCGAUACUCUCCUUUUGUGCGUCCGACAUCUUCCUCAACACUUUUCACCUUUUUUUAUCUUCUUUUUGCUCUAAGUCCACAGACUUGUUUAGUAUCAUUUCUGAAAAGGGUCUCUACAAAAAGUAUUAGUAACAUCUGUUUGUUUUGUAAUCAUCAAAAGAUAUGAAUUGAGAUAAACAAUCUCCCUCUUUUUGAUGAUGACAAAACAUUUGGAUAGAGCAAAAAUAUACGAACUGGGAUUACAACUCCCCCUAACGAAGUGCAUGAGUAUACGAGAAGAAAUGCAACUCCCCCUAACUAGUUACUUUACACCAUCAGUGCUAAUCCAAUUCUCCCCCUUUUUGUCAUCACAAAAGUGGGUAUGCCAUGUCUGAUCAAUUUUGAUACCAGCGCAUCAGAUAACAUC